GGGGAUUAGUGGCGAACGGGUGAGUAACACGUGGGCAAUCUGCCCUUCACUCUGGGACAAGCCCUGGAAACGGGGUCUAAUACCGGAUACUGACCCUCGCAGGCAUCUGCGAGGUUCGAAAGCUCCGGCGGUGAAGGAUGAGCCCGCGGCCUAUCAGCUUGUUGGUGAGGUAAUGGCUCACCAAGGCGACGACGGGUAGCCGGCCUGAGAGGGCGACCGGCCACACUGGGACUGAGACACGGCCCAGACUCCUACGGGAGGCAGCAGUGGGGAAUAUUGCACAAUGGGCGAAAGCCUGAUGCAGCGACGCCGCGUGAGGGAUGACGGCCUUCGGGUUGUAAACCUCUUUCAGCAGGGAAGAAGCGAAAGUGACGGUACCUGCAGAAGAAGCGCCGGCUAACUACGUGCCAGCAGCCGCGGUAAUACGUAGGGCGCAAGCGUUGUCCGGAAUUAUUGGGCGUAAAGAGCUCGUAGGCGGCUUGUCACGUCGGUUGUGAAAGCCCGGGGCUUAACCCCGGGUCUGCAGUCGAUACGGGCAGGCUAGAGUUCGGUAGGGGAGAUCGGAAUUCCUGGUGUAGCGGUGAAAUGCGCAGAUAUCAGGAGGAACACCGGUGGCGAAGGC
Molecule: ribosomal RNA, 622 nt
Filed under: Streptomyces tricolor
Lineage: Bacteria; Bacillati; Actinomycetota; Actinomycetes; Kitasatosporales; Streptomycetaceae
Description: bacterial SSU rRNA
Rfam family: Bacterial small subunit ribosomal RNA
Source: RNAcentral